UGGGGAAUAUUGCACAAUGGGGGAAACCCUGAUGCAGCGACGCCGCGUGAGCGAAGAAGGCUUUCGAGUCGUAAAGCUCUGUCCUAUGGGAAGAUAAUGACGGUACCAUAGAAGAAAGCCCCGGCUAAUUACGUGCCAGCAGCCGCGGUAAUACGUAAGGGGCGAGCGUUGUCCGGAAUUAUUGGGCGUAAAGAGUGCGUAGGCGGCAAAUUAAGUCAGAUGUGAAAACUAAGGGCUCAACCCAUAGAUUGCAUCUGAAACUGAUAGACUUGAGUGAAGGAGAGGAAAGUGGAAUUCCUAGUGUAGCGGUGAAAUGCGUAGAUAUUAGGAGGAAUACCGGUGGCGAAGGCGACUUUCUGGACUUUUACUGACGCUCAGGUACGAAAGCGUGGGGAGCAAACAGG
This 404-nucleotide ribosomal RNA is filed under the name Verrucomicrobiota bacterium. Its description in RNAcentral is "Verrucomicrobia bacterium partial 16S ribosomal RNA". It matches the Rfam family "Bacterial small subunit ribosomal RNA", at positions 355 to 776 of the family's 1533-position model. The record is from RNAcentral. Lineage: Bacteria; Pseudomonadati; Verrucomicrobiota.